CUUUCUCGCAUCAACUCGUGCGGUGGGGUUUCGUCAUUUAUAAAACGGAGCCGUGGAUAUAUCACGUGUCGAGGACAGGAACAUUUUUGCUGUGAUUUUCUCGAUAAGAUUUAGUGGUUUUUGAUUGGCGAAUAUUGACGUUUGCAACAACACGAGAGUAACUAAAAUCGACGGAACUUUGGUAGUGGAAAAGUUAAUGCCCCAAGGGAGUUUAUCGAAGUUUAACUUGAACUAAAGAGAACUGCAGAUUCGUUUUAAAUAGUGAGUUUUUUUAAUUGUUAUCUCUGGAUCGGAUACGGAGAAAGUCGCGGUCUAUUGCCGCCAAGCGCGGCAAGAAAGUAAAGUUUUCGGAAUGGACGGAUCAUGACACAGGGCCAGCCGAUGUCGAUAUAUCCCUUAAUCUCAUGAUACGAGGACGAGCGACGCUUUUUGUAUGGAGGUCUUUUGUUAGAUGAAUAUUGGAAGAAGGAAAUUUUUCGUAUUUUUAUAUUGAAUGUAAUUAUUUCUACUACAUUUUCCAAGUAUCAUUUAUGAGAA
Diorhabda carinulata is the source of this 537-nucleotide long non-coding RNA. RefSeq lists it as uncharacterized. Lineage: Eukaryota; Metazoa; Arthropoda; Insecta; Coleoptera; Chrysomelidae. The record is from RefSeq and is a predicted model, not a curated record. The transcript has 4 exons.